AUUGAACGCUGGCGGCAGGCCUAACACAUGCAAGUCGAACGAGUGGCGGACUGGUGAGUAAUGUCUGGGAAACUGCCUGAUGGAGGGGGAUAACGACUGGAAACGGUAGCUAAUACCGCAUACCAUCAGAUGUGCCCAGAUGGGAGUAGCUAGGUGGGGGGGUAACGGCUCACCAAGGCGACUAUCCCUAGCGGGUCUGAGAGGAUGACCAGCCACACUGGAACUGAGACACGUUCCAGACUCCUACGCGAGGAAGCAGUGGGGAAUAUUGCACAAUGGGCGCAAGCCUGAUGCAGCCAUGCCGCGUGUAUGAAGACGGCCUUCGGGUUGUAAAGUACUUUCAGCGGGGAGGCGUUACCCGCAGAAGAAGCACCGGCUAACUCCGUGCCAGCAGCCGCGGUAAUUC
Molecule: ribosomal RNA, 406 nt
Filed under: uncultured bacterium
Lineage: Bacteria
Description: partial 16S ribosomal RNA
Rfam family: Bacterial small subunit ribosomal RNA
Source: RNAcentral